RNAcentral lists this long non-coding RNA (494 nucleotides) under Trifolium pratense (red clover). RNAcentral's name for it is "long non-coding RNA (TPRA_LNC005295)". The record is from RNAcentral. Lineage: Eukaryota; Viridiplantae; Streptophyta; Magnoliopsida; Fabales; Fabaceae.
UAGCAUAUUGAAGAUAAAAUAAAUGACGAUAAUGAUAAUCAAUUCGAAAAGUAUCGAUCAAUGAUUCCUUGACUGAUAAUGUAGAAUCCUCGUAUUCAUUUAUACCUACAAGUGAAAUAUGCAGAGUAAAACUUGUCAUUCACAAUUGGUUCAACAAAGUUUAUAAAAUCACUUUUUUUUUUGAAUGGCAAAUAUAAUAUAUUUAUAAAUAUAAUAACGAGAAAAAUACAAGAGAAAGUUCAGAAAAUGAAGAGGUACCAGAAGUACACUCCACCCAAACCUAACCUUCUCAAAGGAAAACAAACGAAAAAAAGAUACAAAGGAAGUUUAUAAAAUCACAUAUAAUGUAUUAAAGUAUUAUGCUAGCUGCAUUCAAGGAAACGAAAAUGAUAUAGAGAAACAUGUUAUUACCAUUUUCGGUGAUGUAAAUAGAAGGAUUAUUGUACUUUUCUUUGGUGUAUAACAACAGGUCACAAAUUCCUUUUGGAUAAACG